GAUGAACGCUGGCGGCGUGCCUAAUACAUGCAAGUCGAGCGAACAGACGAGGAGCUUGCUCCUUUGACGUUAGCGGCGGACGGGUGAGUAACACGUAGGUAACCUACCUAUAAGACUGGGAUAACUUCGGGAAACCGGAGCUAAUACCGGAUAAUAUUUCGAACCGCAUGGUUCGAUAGUGAAAGAUGGCUUUGCUAUCACUUAUAGAUGGACCUGCGCCGUAUUAGCUAGUUGGUAAGGUAACGGCUUACCAAGGCAACGAUACGUAGCCGACCUGAGAGGGUGAUCGGCCACACUGGAACUGAGGCACGGUCCAGACACCGACGGGAGGCAGCAGUAGGGAAUCUUCCGGAAUGCGGGAAAGCCUAACGGAGCAACGCCGCGUGAGUGAUGAAGGUCUUCGGAUCGUAAACCUCUGUUAUUAGGGAAGAACAAACGUGUAAGUAACUGUGCACGUCUUGACGGUACCUAAUCAGAAAGCCACGGCUAACUACGUG
This 497-nucleotide ribosomal RNA is filed under the name uncultured bacterium. RNAcentral's name for it is "partial 16S ribosomal RNA". It matches the Rfam family "Bacterial small subunit ribosomal RNA", at positions 28 to 507 of the family's 1533-position model. The record is from RNAcentral.